RNAcentral lists this small RNA (819 nucleotides) under Metamycoplasma gateae. RNAcentral's name for it is "bacterial LSU rRNA". The stretch from base 320 to 819 matches the Rfam family "Bacterial large subunit ribosomal RNA", at positions 1 to 497 of the family's 2925-position model. Lineage: Bacteria; Bacillati; Mycoplasmatota; Mycoplasmoidales; Metamycoplasmataceae. The record is from RNAcentral.
CCGCCCGUCACACCAUGGGAGCUGGUAAUACCCAAAGUCGGUUAGCUAACCUCGGAGGCGACCGCCUAAGGUAGGACUGGUGACUGGGGUGAAGUCGUAACAAGGUAUCCCUACGAGAACGUGGGGAUGGAUCACCUCCUUUCAACGGAGUACAUAAUGUUAUGGAAAAAUUAUUUGUAUCCAGUUUUGAGAGAUUUAUCUCUCUUGUUCUUUGAAAACUGAAUAUCGACAUUGAAAAAUUAAAUUAUUAAUAUUUCAAAGUUUAGAUCAACCUAUAGAAUAUAUCAUACAAUAGACAAACAAUAGGUCUUAUACUACUAUUAAACAAGAUAAGAGUUUUUGGUGGAUGCCUUGGGUCUGGAAGUCGAUGAAGGACGUGAUUACCUGCGAUAAGCCUCGGUUAGCUGGAAAUAUGCUGUUAUCCGGGGAUUUCCGAAUGGGGAAACCUAAUUGAGCUAAUCCUCAAUUAUCAUAUCGAUGAAUUCAUAGUCGAAUGAAGAGACACGCUGUGAAUUGAAACAUCUCAGUAGCAGCAGGAAGAGAAAAUAAAGAAUGAUUCCCUCAGUAGUGGCGAGCGAACGGGGAAGAGCCCAAACCAACAUUCGUUGUUGGGGUUGUAGGACUACAUUAUAGAGUUACAAAAUUUAUACAUAGCAGAAUAAGUUGGAAUGCUUAAACAUAGAGGGUGAAAUUCCCGUAAGCGAAAUGUCUAAAUCUCUUUGUAGUAUCCUGAGUAGGGCGGGGCACGUGAAACCCUGUCUGAAUCUGCCGGGACCACCCGGUAAGGCUAAAUACUAACCAGACACCGAUAGUGAACUA